CCGAGAUUUUGGCAGCCGGUGGCGCAUCGUCGCGGGCGCGAGAGCCGAGAUUUUGGCACGCGAGUGCACACGCGCGGGGGGGGGUAAAAAAAUUACGAUCUAUACGAAUCCGAGAAUUUUUACCUGUCACGUUUGCGUCAUUUUUUUUUACGACUUCCAAUUUCGCGCGUUAGUUGUUUUCACGCGAAGACGCACAAAUCGGCCUUCGAUUUGCGUACCGGUACAACAAGGAGGAAAAUAAUACAAUAAAAUUAAAGAAAAAAAAAAAGAAGUGAUUCGCGGGCUGUAUAAUAUCACGGUAUACGACGACUGCUGUUUCGUUGGACAAACACGCGUUUUAUUACUAUUUUUACGUGUUCAAACACGAACUGUGUGCCGAGACUCUGCGCGUCGGCUCUCGACUUUCCUCGUGGAUUUUCAUCAUCAUCAUCAUGCUUAUUAAUAAUUCGUAAUCGAUCGUCGUGUACUCAGGUAUACGCCUUUCUCGCCUCUAAUCUCGCUCGAUUUCGUGGUUUUUCCCCCCGCUGCGCUCGUGGUUAAUCGGCGCGCACACGCCCCCAUCGGUACUCGGUAUAUAUACCACAAAAGCUCGAAAUUUUUUUUAGUCAUAGUUCGACACAGAGAGAUAAUAAGUGCGAUCGUAUUGUAGUGUGCUCGUGUGCUCGUGUGCUCUAUAUAUUAUAUAGACGAGAUAUAAUAGACUCGUUGCGAGACUUGACUCAACUCGACGUUGGUGCUAUAUUAACCGGCGGGCUGCCAAAAAUUUUCAACGAAACGUGCGAUCUCGAGCUCAUCUCGUUGUGUGCGAUCUCUACUGCGUCGAUCGUCAUCCAACGGCGAUCGUCUACGUCGGCAUCAUUACGUUGAACGGCCAACACGCUAUUCGCGAGUUCAAGGCACGCCGUCUCAAAGAUCUCUUCCUGUCCGUUCUCGCCUAUUUCAAAUACUCGGCUCGGUGUGUGAAAUGAAUAAGGAGAUUUUCGCCAAUGGCAUCGCUACCAUAGAUUUGCGCGCCGAGAAAUGCGCCGAGGAUCAUCGAGAGCCGAGUCAGCCGGCCAAGAGCUACGACGAGGCGAUCCGCGCCACCGGCUGGGGCUGGUACAACGUACACCUGCUCCUGCUCUGUCUGCCGAUCGCCUGGUCGGCCGUCAUCGACACGACCAGCACCGUGUUCGUGCUCAACUCGCAGGAGUGCGAGUUCGAGCUGACCAUGUUUCGCCGGGGCAUAGCCCUCUGCGUCAUCUAUAUGGGUAUGAUAGUCGCCGGGCCGAUCUGGGACACCUGUCUGCGCGAGUACAGCACGGCGUACUUGGGCAAAAGAAACAUCAUCAUAAUAGGAAUUUUAAUGGACGCCCUGUGCAAUCUAUUCUGGACCUACACUUCGUCUUUUUACACAUACGUUAUAUGCAAAUUCAUUAGCGGCCUGAUAGUCGCCGGCCCGUUGUCCGUCGUAAUGGCUUACUUAUCGGAGUUUCACGCGAUCGCUUACCAGGCCAAGUUUACGAGGUGGGCCGGUCUGCUCGUCGCCGUAUCUAACAUCGUGCCGGCAGCUCUGGCCGCGAUACUGCUGCAUCGUGCCGACUGGCUGAACUUCACGCUCCACGGCCAGUUCUAUCCGACCUGGAGGAUCUACCUGCUGGUCAACGGGCUGCCGUCGAUUCUCGGAGUGAUCACGGCCUGUCUGCUGCCCAAGAGUCCGAAAUUUUUGAUAUCACAGGGCAAGCGCGAGGACGCCCUGAGAAUACUGGCCAAGAUGUAUCGCUGGAAUCAUCGCGACUCCAAUUGCGAGUAUCCCAUAACGAAUUUAAAGCGUCAAGAGGCCAAGAAGACGCCGAUCGGCGAACUGUUCGCCGAUAAUUUCCAACGAUACAAAUCGGUAUUUUCCGCGCCUUACAGCCACGCGCUGAUCACGGUGCUGUUUUUGCAAUUUUUCGCGAUGAUGGGCUUUCACGUAACGAGACUCUGGGUGCCACCGCUGUACGUCACCAUGAACCACUUUAGGGUGCUGACGCGCCACCUCUAUCCCAAGGACGAGCUCAUCACCAUGUGCGAGAUGCUGUAUCCGCGACUGCAGAACAUCGAUCACACGGGCUGCACCUACGUACAGCCCAAAGUCGAGGCCGCCGUCUACGUGAACUCGACGAUCAUCGCCACGACCGCCGUGACACUCGGCUUCGUCUUUGUGCUGCUGGCCACCACGAGAUUGCGAAAAAUCAGUCUACUAGUCUUUUUGUUCCUGGUCGCCGCCGCCGGCUGCUGCGUCACCAACUGGGCGAUCAACAUACCCUGGAUGUUGGUCACGGUCGCCCUGACCAUCGUCGGCUCCCGCGUCGCCGGCCAACUGAUCGUCGCCUACAAUUCCGAAAUAUUGCCGCUGCACCUGAGGUCGACGUCUCUUAGCGUAAUCAAUUUUGUAGGAAAUUUAGGCGCCGUCGUCGGCAACGUCAUAUUCGGUAUACUCAUCGAUAUCGACUGCUCCUCGACCUUCCUGUGCCUGGGAGUCUGCCUGUUUCUGUGCACAAUCAUGCCGGUGUUUCUCGUGCAGAAGGUGAAGAAAAUGGACCUGGACGUCGUCGAGGCCACCAGAUUUUGACCGAAGAAGAAAAGAAAGAUAUAAAGAGAUAGUAUCUGACUAAAAAUUUUUAUUAUAAGAGCAAAUACUGCCAUUUUAUACAACAUCUUCAAAAGAGCAAAUACUGCUAUUACAUGAUAUAAUUAUUAUUAAUACAGGGGGCUCGAUCAUCCAACGAUAAAAAUUCUCUCUGGGCCCGCUGCGAGUCGGGUCUCUGUAAUAAUGUGCAAUAUAUUUAUGUUGGUGGCCCAAGACGACACUCGGUAAACGAGAUAUAUAUGCUCGGAUGAGAGAGAGAACGUAAGACACGAUGUUGCGGCGUCGUCAAUUGUAUCAAUUGAUGCCGUGUACAUUUUAAAGUGCGAUUUAUACACAGACACAGACACACAGACACAAGCGCGUACGUAUAUAUAUAUAUACACGCAAAAGAGACUUAGUAGCGAAUUAUUAAAAAGCUCGCAUCAACGAGUAUCAACUAGACCUAUUAAAAUGUAUCAUUGACUAAAUGUAUAAAUGUUGUGCGUGAAAUGUGUUAUACUGCUCCAAUGCCAAAGUCUCCGGGGCAGUUCAAUCCGAUGCCGUCUGGCCGGUCGAAGCCGGGAGACACUAUCUGACUAUCGUGAAUUAUAUCGUUGUUGUUAUUUAUUUUUUUAAUUGUGCAUGAUUGAGAAACUGACUGGUGCGUAUGAUAUUGAUUUAUACACGAGAAAUACUGAUUUUUUAUAAUAUACACGUAUUUUUAUACUCAUUUUUAGGUAGCUAUGAAAUUUUUACAAU
Molecule: unclassified non-coding RNA, 3349 nt
Filed under: Trichogramma pretiosum
Lineage: Eukaryota; Metazoa; Arthropoda; Insecta; Hymenoptera; Trichogrammatidae
Description: synaptic vesicle glycoprotein 2A-like, transcript variant X1
Source: RNAcentral